ACUACUAAUACUGCUGCUACUACUACCAGUACUAUUACUAUUAUUUGAUAUUUUGUGUUGUUAGGGCAUUCUUUAAGCACUAAGCAUGGCUUGGUUACACAACUACAGAUCAGAUAAGAUUUUUACAAGAUAAAUAAUUUUGUUGCUUCUUCCUCUCAACCUGCAAGAAGAAAACUCAGCACAACUGUUCACUUCUCACACCAGAGCUAAACCUCUCUCAUCUCAGCACAGCUGCAGAUCCACCGCUCUACACUGUGAGAAUGAACCCCAAAACAUUUCUGUGUUUAACAGCACUCCUGUUCCUGUCUGUUCAUCUCUGUUGUGGAGGAGAUAAAGCCCCCAAGAAGAUUAAGCAAACUGCAAAGACGCCGAGUAAAGCUGAUUGGAAAAUUGGACGCACAGUUCUGCUGGCCGGUCCUCCUGCACGUUCAGCUGCUGUGGCGACAUCUAAAUCUAUAUUUGGAUCGGGAUAUGAAUCUGGACAUGGACCAACUGAUAAAGAUCUACGGGAUUCUAAAAAGAGCUUUCUUUCUUCUCGACGGUUAAGCGCAGGAAAGCUGAGCAAGAAAAAGGGUCGAAAAAACUGAAAGAUGAACCCAUCUGAUCAUCAGCAGUGAUUGAACUAAAAAAGUAAUGUAAAGAUUAAAAUGAGAUUUUCUGUAAGUCUGUCAGUAAUGAUUCUAAUAAAAUUAUUUUAAAACAAUAUGUUAUUGAGUUA
This 718-nucleotide long non-coding RNA is filed under the name Astyanax mexicanus (Mexican tetra). RNAcentral's name for it is "lncRNA (ENSAMXG00005024706.1)". Lineage: Eukaryota; Metazoa; Chordata; Actinopteri; Characiformes; Acestrorhamphidae. The record is from RNAcentral.